GGCCGUCCGAGUUGUAAUCUGGAGAAGUGUUUUCCGCGCUGGACCGUGUACAAGUCCCUUGGAACGGAGCGUCAUAGAGGGUGAGAAUCCCGUCUUUGACACGGACUACCAGUGCUUUGUGAUGCGCUCUCGAAGAGUCGAGUUGUUUGGGAAUGCAGCUCAAAAUGGGUGGUAAAUUCCAUCUAAAGCUAAAUAUUGGCGAGAGACCGAUAGCGAACAAGUACCGUGAGGGAAAGAUGAAAAGCACUUUGGAAAGAGAGUUAAACAGUACGUGAAAUUGUUGAAAGGGAAACGCUUGAAGUCAGUCGCGUCUUCCGGGACUCAGCCUUGCUUCUGCUUGGUGUACUUCCCGGAUGACGGGUCAGCAUCAAUUUUGACCGUUGGAAAAAGGCUUGAGGAAUGUGGCACCUCCGGGUGUGUUAUAGCCUCUGGUCGUAUACCGCGGUUGGGAUUGAGGAACGCAGCACGCCGCAAGGCGCGGGGUUCGUCCACGUUCGAGCUUAGGAUGCUGGCAUAAUGGCUUUAAGCGA
This 530-nucleotide ribosomal RNA is filed under the name Phaeoclavulina mutabilis. Its description in RNAcentral is "eukaryotic LSU rRNA". It matches the Rfam family "Eukaryotic large subunit ribosomal RNA", at positions 132 to 647 of the family's 3401-position model. The record is from RNAcentral. Lineage: Eukaryota; Fungi; Basidiomycota; Agaricomycetes; Gomphales; Gomphaceae.